This 824-nucleotide ribosomal RNA is filed under the name uncultured bacterium. Its description in RNAcentral is "bacterial SSU rRNA". It matches the Rfam family "Bacterial small subunit ribosomal RNA", at positions 681 to 1503 of the family's 1533-position model. The record is from RNAcentral.
GUGAAAUGCGUAGAUAUCUGGAGGAACACCGGUGGCGAAGGCGGCAUCCUGGACCGGCAUUGACGCUGAUGAGCGAAAGCCAGGGGAGCAAACGGGAUUAGAUACCCCGGUAGUCCUGGCCCUAAACGAUGAAUGCUUGGUGUGGCGGGUAUCGAUCCCUGCCGUGCCGAAGCUAACGCAUUAAGCAUUCCGCCUGGGGAGUACGGUCGCAAGACUGAAACUCAAAGGAAUUGACGGGGGCCCGCACAAGCGGUGGAGCAUGUGGUUCAAUUAGACGCAACGCGAAGAACCUUACCCAGGCUUGAACUGCGAGUGACCACUCCCGAAAGGGAGCUUCCGCAAGGACACUCGUAGAGGUGCUGCAUGGCUGUCGUCAGCUCGUGUCGUGAGAUGUUGGGCUAAGUCCCGCAACGAGCGCAACCCUUGUCUGCUGUUGCCAUCAGGUUAUGGUGGGCACUCUGCAGAGACUGCCGGUGAUAAACCGGAGGAAGGUGGGGAUGACGUCAAGUCAGCAUGGCCUUUAUGUCUGGGGCUACACACGUGCUACAAUGGCAGAUACAAACCGUCGCGAGACCGCAAGGUGGAGCCAAUCGGAUAAAGUCUGUCUCAUUUCGGAUAGCAGGCUGCAACUCGCCUGCGUGAAGUUGGAAUCGCUAGUAAUCGCGGAUCAGCACGCCGCGGUGAAUACGUUCCCGGGCCUUGUACACACCGCCCGUCACAUCACGAAAGCCGGUUGUACUAGAAGUCGCCACACUAACCCGCAAGGGAGGGAGGCGCCUAAGGUAUGGUCGGUGAUUGGGGUGAAGUCGUAACAAGGUAACCGU